RNAcentral lists this unclassified non-coding RNA (1452 nucleotides) under Ceratitis capitata (Mediterranean fruit fly). Its description in RNAcentral is "uncharacterized LOC101456597, transcript variant X1". The record is from RNAcentral. Lineage: Eukaryota; Metazoa; Arthropoda; Insecta; Diptera; Tephritidae.
GAAUUAAUAUUACUGUGUUCUCAACAUUGCCAUUUGUUUGCACAUUUUAGAGAUAAUAAUGGAUUUAUAAACAAUUCAUAAAUUUUUGGUUGCAUUAUAUUGUUUAUAAGAUACCUGUUUUCGCAAUUCAUUAAAUUGUUUAAAAACUACUUGACGUGUACAAAGUGUUUUUAAUACUCAAUCCUUCAACAAAUUUCUUUGGCUUGCGAGAAAAACCUGCUUGCAAAUUCGAAUACGAUAAUUUUUUCGCAAUGGCUUGGGUUCCAACUACUGACUUUGAAAAGGAAAUUGUUGAUUCCCAACCGGAUCUUGACUUUAUUUUUGGUCGACUUUCGGAGACAACUCAACAACCAUUUUAUCCACGUCCUAAAGAACAUUUGGAUUUUAUAGCAAAACAGAAAGAAUUGAAAAGCAAUAUCGAAAAGAAAUUACCAAGUACUCAAAAUCAUACAUUGAAUAUUAUUUCAAGAGUGCAGCGUAUUGCUGGCACUAAACCUCUGGGUGAACAGCCAACAAUCGAUGAUUGGAAUGAUAACGAGAACUUGGAGCGUGAAACCAUUGCGCUGAUGAGACAUGUUGGUUUAGGACCAAGUAUUGAACAUCCACUUGACGAAGCUUGUACAAUAGCAACACAUCCCAUUAAAGAAGAAAUUAAAAUUAAUCGUAAUGGUCGCAAACAAAUGCCAAUAUUUUUUGAUGAUAAAUUUUUUGAAUUAAAACCACGUGUUGCGAGUUCAGCAUCAUCGUCUGAUAAUAAUAGUCUAAUUUUGGAGACUGAGCCUGCAAUAAAUGAUGAUUCGAACAGUAUAUCGAUGAGGAGCAGUAGCAUUGCCAAAUCCAGCGAUUUAUUGCAGGAACAAUGCACUGAUAGUGGGAAUAGUGGUUUUGAAAGUGCUGUAGACUUUGCCAGAGAAGAACAAAGUUUCGAAACAGCUUACAAUAGUAGUAAUAAUCGAAGUAGAUCGUGUGGCAAUCGAGAAGAUAAUAAAAAGAAAAAUAUACAAAAUUGGCGCAGCGAUAGCAACGAUAGCAACGAUUUUAUUGAAACGCAAUCAUGGAGAAAUAGUUCAAAAGCACACAAAAGAAGUGAGAUGUUUAAGCUAACUGACAAUAGUGAUUAUAAUUGGCGUUCAAAUGCUUCAAAUGCUGCGUAUUUUGAAGGUAAUACUCCUGCAAACAUACCACAGAUGUGUACUCCCAAAGAAUUGUAUCAGCGGAAGCGUCAAACGUGAUAAAUAUAGUCAUUUAUUAAGGAGAAUACGUGUGCAAAUAUCUGAAAUGUUUUUAAACUGUUUUCAUCUACUUUUACAGUGGCGAGUUAAUCUCAAGUUACAUUUUUACGUAGUCAUUCAGCAGUUAACCUAAUUUUUGGCGUCCUAAACAGCUGAGUAUGUAACGGUUGGUUAUUUAUCGUAACCUACGGAGGGACUGAUAAAGUGUCGUUAUACAAAG